Molecule: ribosomal RNA, 301 nt
Filed under: uncultured bacterium
Lineage: Bacteria
Description: partial 16S ribosomal RNA
Rfam family: Bacterial small subunit ribosomal RNA
Source: RNAcentral
CAGCAGCCUCGGGAAUACGGAGGGGGCUAGCGUUGUUCGGAAUUACUGGGCGUAAAGCGCACGUAGGCGGCUUGGUAAGUUAGAGGUGAAAGCCUGGAGCUCAACUCCAGAAUUGCCUUUAAGACUGCCGAGCUAGCAGGUGAGAGAGGUAAGUGGAAUUCCGAGUGUAGAGGUGAAAUUCGUAGAUAUUCGGAAGAACACCAGUGGCGAAGGCGGCUUACUGGCUCAUACUGGACGCUGAGGUGCGAAAGCGUGGGGAGCAAACAGGAUUAGAUACCCCCGUAGUCCCUGUCUCUUAACA